Long non-coding RNA from Camellia sinensis, 528 nucleotides. RefSeq lists it as uncharacterized. Lineage: Eukaryota; Viridiplantae; Streptophyta; Magnoliopsida; Ericales; Theaceae. The record is from RefSeq and is a predicted model, not a curated record.
CUCACUCUAAAACACCAUUUUACUCCACCUUCUCUCUAGAAAACCUCCUCAAACACCAAAAUACUUUGAUUCUUGUAACCUUUGGGUCUAGAUCCUCUACAUUCCACACUAAUUUUGAAGAUCCAAGUUAGGGUUUCUUUGGGUGUUGUGGAAGAGUUGAAGAGUUUUCCAAUCAAAACUAGGGUUUUAUCAUCUUCUUCAUCAAGAUCUUAAGGUAAAGAUGUUGUGGUUCCGCCAAGCUAAGGGUGGGGACAUGUUUGCUGAAGAGUAGAUCACUCUUCCUUUUGUUGAAAUUUUUGUAAAGCCUAGGGCUAAUUUGGUAUGGGUCCGAGAGACCGUUUUGUGUGACUGGGCUAUUGCCUUGGAAUUUGUAAGCCCAUAAGGGCAUUUUGAUGUUUGAGAUUUUAGUGUUUCACAUGCUAUACAUUCAUGUAACCUUUAUGUUGUGAAUUUAUAUUGCAUGCGGAACUUUUGAUGUUAAACCCAGUUAGUGUAUAUAUAUAUGAGAAGAUGGAAGGAUCUUUGUCA